CCCUUAGAUGUUCUGGGCCGCACGCGUGCUACACUGACCGGCGCAACAAGUUUCUUUCCUUGGCUCGAUAGGCCUGGGUAAUCUUUGAACGCCGGUCGUGAUGGGGAUAGAUCCUUGCAAUUUUUGGUCUUCAACGAGGAAUUCCUAGUAAAUGCGAGUCAUCAUCUCGCGUUGAUUACGUCCCUGCCCUUUGUACACACCGCCCGUCGCUCCUACCGAUUGAAUGGUCCGGUGAAGCGUUCGGACCGUGGCCUUUGGACGGUUCGCCGUCUGUUGGCUGCGGGAAGUUCGUUAAACCUUAUCAUUUAGAGGAAGGAGAAGUCGUAACA
Molecule: ribosomal RNA, 329 nt
Filed under: uncultured eukaryote
Lineage: Eukaryota
Description: partial 18S ribosomal RNA
Rfam family: Eukaryotic small subunit ribosomal RNA
Source: RNAcentral